UGGGGAAUCUUGCGCAAUGCGCGAAAGCGUGACGCAGCAACGCCGCGUGGGGGAAGAAGGCUUUCGGGUUGUAAACCCCUUUCAGUUGGGACGAAGCUUCGCCGGUGAAUAGCCGGCCGGAGUGACGGUACCUUCACAAGAAGCACCGGCUAACUACGUGCCAGCAGCCGCGGUAAUACGUAGGGUGCAAGCGUUGUCCGGAAUCAUUGGGCGUAAAGAGCGUGUAGGCGGCCCGAUUAGUCCGCUGUGAAAGUCCAGGGCUCAACCCUGGAAUGCCGGUGGAUACUGUCGGGCUAGAGUCCGGAAGGGGCGAGUGGAAUUCCUGGUGUAGCGGUGAAAUGCGCAGAUAUCAGGAGGAACACCAAUGGCGAAGGCAGCUCGCUGGGACGUGACUGACGCUGAGACGCGAAAGCGUGGGGAGCAAACAGGAUUAGAUACCCCCGUAGUCC
Molecule: ribosomal RNA, 449 nt
Filed under: uncultured bacterium
Lineage: Bacteria
Description: bacterial SSU rRNA
Rfam family: Bacterial small subunit ribosomal RNA
Source: RNAcentral